This 1471-nucleotide long non-coding RNA is filed under the name Homo sapiens (human). RNAcentral describes it as "HSALNT0023901". The record is from RNAcentral. Lineage: Eukaryota; Metazoa; Chordata; Mammalia; Primates; Hominidae.
GGACGCCGUCAGUCUCACCGUCCGCCCGGCUCCGGGCGCAGCCGGUGCGCUGUUCCCAGGCCCCGCGGCGCGCGGGAGCUGCGCGUCCAGGAGGGGCCCGGACGCCCUUCUUGGGGAGGGGGCUGCGGGGCGCAUCAUGAGCGGCGCUGGGCGAGCUCGAGGGCCGGGCAGCCUACCUGGACCCCGGCUUCUAGAGAGCCGUCGCCGUCCUUGUCGAGACUCGCUUUCGCCCCUCUGAGGAAUAAGUUAAAAACCGCGAGUCUGGUUCUGAGCCGCCCCCUGGCGCAGGCGCGACCCCACCCGGCCCUCCCGUCUCCCAACUUGGGACAGACGCGGCGGCCGGGCGGUCGGAUCCGUGAGCCUCGGCCGCUGGGGCUACAUACACAGCCCAGGACGCCACAGAAUCGCCGAGGCCCCGCGAACGCCCAAACGGCCGCAAGUCGAAGUGAUCCCAUCUGAAGAAGACAGCGCGAGGAAGCGAGACCCUGCUGUGUGCCGGCCCCCGGAGGGCGCCCCGGGCCCUGUGGGUCGGAGGGUGGGGAAGCACAGAGAAACACGCAGGCAGUAAAACGUUAGGAGGACAGGGGGUGCCAGCGUGCAGGAAAUGCUGCUAAGAGACCUUUAGGAGCCAAGGGGAAAACGGAGAGAUUGGCAGUUCCAGGCACCCACAUCCCAGCGCGGUCCGCUCACCCCUUCCUCCCUGCCCUCCAGGCAGCGCUCAGCCCACGGUAGAAAUGUCUUGCAUCUUUUUUCCGACGAGGAAGAAUUGAACUUUUUAUACCCAACUUUUCUGCUUUCUUAGAAAUGUUGACUCACCUGUGAGGAAGCAUUAUUUGAAACUAUUAUUGUAAAUUGCUUGACAUUUGAAUUAGAUGCUGAAAGAUUAAAGGGUCUCAGAAGAAUCUUUUAAGCUAGACUGGAAUUGACUCUGCCUAAAUGGACAGCAACAGUCAUCUAUACGCAGGAAUAAUAAAGCAGGUCCUGAGUGAGCCCCUUUGCUGUGCAGAACAAUGGUGAUACAUACAGGCGAGAGCAAAACCCACGAGGUGUCCACCUCACGGCCGACCACAAGAGAUCCUCAAGAGACACAUCUCAGGAAUGAUUCUGAACCUUCUUCACCAAAUAAAAUAUUCCAGAAAUAGUAUUAGAUUUAAUGUGUGUGUCCCUCCUUGCUGGUCUUCCUAGCAGCAGCCUUCUUGUUUCUUGCCUUUUUAGGCAAACAGCCUGAAACUUAGCACAGACGGUGGAAUUGCAGCACCUAUGAAGAUAUCACUGCAUCCUUUUUGCCUCAGGACAUCUUACUGAAAAUCAUUCUAUGUUAAAGCUAUACAUUUUGCUGAAAUUUUGAAGACAAACAUCAAUGGUGAAUUAUAAACUUGUAUUUGCCUAAAGGCUAGUGUGAACUUAUCACUUUCGCCUUCCCCCAGGCCAAGAUUUUCCCUCCCCUUGUUGCCCAAGCCUCACUUUCUAU